Molecule: long non-coding RNA, 100 nt
Organism: Thalassophryne amazonica
Lineage: Eukaryota; Metazoa; Chordata; Actinopteri; Batrachoidiformes; Batrachoididae
Exons: 3
Source: RefSeq, a predicted model, not a curated record
GUCCAUUUUUGCUUGUUAGCGUGAUAUCUCAAGAACCACUUGAUCAAUUUCAUUCAAAUUUAGCAUUAGAGUGUACUUGGGUGAACCUUGAGAAAUACAU